GGUACCGGUAAUUCGAGCACUUCGUCGUCAAUUAAUGCAAUGCGGUUUGGACACGGCAACCCUUGACGUGGUUUGGACACGGCAACCAUUGACGCGGUUGGCACGCGGUCCCUUGUUUUUUAAACUUUUCCCCCUGUCUUUUUUUUUCUCUCUCUCGAUCGUCUCGACUGAAAAGGGCAAGAACGCCGUCUGUUCAUCGCUUUUUAAAAUUUUUCCAUCGUCUUAGUCUCUCCCAUCUUUUUUUUCAUCUAAGCGAGGUUGGUAGGUUCGACCAUAAGCGAAGGGCCGUGACGUGGUGAUGACAAGAAGAACACUGUGGAUCUCCGUAAAGAAAGCAAGGCCGGAUUACUAGUGAGAGUGGAGAUCUUAGAUCUUCAUGACUGCGAGAUCUGCCCAUGCCCAUGCGAUGCGAAGAAGCAGCAGUAAGCGGAUCCAAAUUUCUUGGUCUGAAAGUGUCCGCGACACCACGCUUCAUCCUCUCCUUCCCACUUUCUUCUUGAUUUAUGGCGGUUUCUUCCUUCAUGGCACCUAAAAGGGAAAAGCCCUCUGCGUCGUCGAUUACCCGGAAAGAAAUGUCACCUUUGAAUGCUUCUGUUGCAGCAAGCGAUGAGAAGAUGGAGUGGAGUCAUUUCAUCGGUGUGGGCGGCAAAGGCCUGUCCGCUAUCUCGAUUCUCACUCCCGGGCAAGAUACGCUUCCUCCCUGCUCUUGUUUGCUCUAAUUCUUAGGUUGUUGAUACAUCCAUGUCUGUCUCUCUCUCUCUCUUUAAGGGCGUCCCUUAACUUCCUCCUUUGGCCGGCAGCCAUCGCCGGUGUGUGAUGGGUGUUGGCAGUCCUCUCCGCCCUUCAGUUGUGUUCAUGUGUGGUUUCCUAUUGGGGUUCCUCUAUAGUCGGUCAGGUUUAUCAUUGCAGGCUGGGGUCUUUCAUUUCGGCUCUGUGCUAGGAGUUUUGUUUGGGUUUCUUCCGUUGAAGUUGUUGCUGGUUUCUGACAUUUGGUUGGGCUUCUUCCGUUGAAGUUGUUGCUGGUUUCUGACAUUUGGUUCGCCAUUGGGUCGGAUGCUUUGGUCACCACUUGGAUCGCCGCUUUCUAGUUGCUGUUGGGUCUGCCGCUUGCGUCACUCUUGACGUCUACCUUUUGGUUCACCGCUGUCGGUUGGGCAUGCCGUUUAGUUGAUGUUGCUACUGAGUCGCCACUACCGCUUCUGUUUGCUGCUAGGUCGCAUUUAUCGUCUUUGGGUUUGUUGCUGGGUCAUUACUGUGACUAUUGUUGUGCAUUCAUCGCAUUAUGCAGCUGUUCAAAUUCCAACCAGCCAUCCGGGGAGAUUGGGCGUUUUUGUCAGGCUACAAGGAAUCCUUUGUGUUCAAGUGCCAACCAGUUCAAUGUCACACAAUUUUGUGGACCCCGUCCUGAUGACAAUGUGGACUCUUUUGGAGGCACUUCUAACUCCACAAAUGUUUCUCGAGUCCAGGCAUGUCCAACUCAAAAUUUCUAUGAAUAUGUUCUGUCAUCACUUGUUCCAUGUUUAUGUGCUGCUCCUAUUAAACUUGGAUAUCGUUUAAAAAGCCCUAGCAUCUCUAUGCUUCUGCCAUACGUUUCAUGCUUUUAUAUUUGCUCAUGUUUGGCCUUGAUUUGGAUCUUGAUGUCAUGCUGGCAUCAAUUGCUGGUAUAGUUGUAGUUUCUUCUCUCAUUGAAGAAAGCAUACUAAAGAGUAUAGUAAAAUUAACAAAAAACAUCUGUGUAAGUACCCUUGUUUUUGUUCAUGUGUAAUUGGUUUUCUAGUGUUCAGGACUUAAAGCUACAUAAUUAGUUUGACUUGGAGAUGUUUCCUUCUUCCCUUUUUCAAUGCUAAAAAAUGAGUUGAUUGUAGAAGCAUUAGCUUUGGUUAUUCACAUGUAAGCUGAUUAGUGGGUCAAUGUCUAAUUUGAUUUAAGUUCAUAACUGGUCGUAAACAACAACGUUAUGAUGCUUGGGGUUGUUUACGGCAUUGGAUUUUUGUAUAAUAAAAAUGAGACCUUAGCUGACGAUGCCUCUUUUUUUACGUACUAAAGUUUUAUCCUUCUUUUUGAAUUUUUAGUGUUUUUUGAUAGAAGAACCUAACCCAAACCAUUUGUGAAACUUUUAAUCAGUUGAAUACCCAACUUUUCUGGGAACUCCUCACCCUUAAACCAAUCUUUUGUAUAGAAGACCCUACUUUUAUGGGAGAUUUGGUGAAAUUCGUUCUUUUAACCAGCCAAGUUUUACAUUCACCCAUCUAUUUAGGGAGUACAGUUCCUUUCUCCUGGUGAUAUACCAUUUGAUGUCAAGAACUUUUGUAAAAGAGGAACUUUUCAGUUUUGCUUAAAAACAUUUUUAAAGUGUUUUCUCACACAAUGAUGUGCGUUGCUUUAUUCUUAGUACCUUUCCAAGUGGAAGGUGGAAAUUUCAAAUUCUUGUUGUCCAUCAAUGGAAGAGGAAAAUCGAAAAAAUCCUGGAUAUGAGCAGUGAAGAAAAAUCUUAUGAAGUUGAGAAAGUCAAGACUAGGAAAUGCUAUUGACUCUGGCGAUUAAGCAUUUGCAAGGAUUUAGCAGGAAAAUAUAUUGAGGGAGAAGCCAAAAUGCUCUAUAAGAUCUUGGCAGGUAGUAAAAUGAGAGUUGAGAGAUGGGCUCGGAGCUUGUGUAGUCGUUCCUCUGAGUUAGUAAUCGAGAGUACCGGGUAGGCAUAAAGGUGAUUUAUGUCUAUUUCGCGAAGAUAAUGAUUUAUGAACUUUUGACUCGUUGAAAACCCGUAAGGUGAAGCGGGUUGGACACGUGACAAAGCUACACAUAACUACCAAAGUGGUGGAGCUUCGUAGUAGCCUUUGGGGUGGUGAGGUAUUCCCUCAAAGGUGAAGGUC
Molecule: RNA transcript, 2870 nt
Organism: Nymphaea colorata (pocket water lily)
Lineage: Eukaryota; Viridiplantae; Streptophyta; Magnoliopsida; Nymphaeales; Nymphaeaceae
Gene name: probable LRR receptor-like serine/threonine-protein kinase At1g06840
Exons: 3
Source: RefSeq, a predicted model, not a curated record